UUUUGGACAAUGGGCGCAAGCCUGAUCCAGCAAUGCCGCGUGAGUGAAGAAGGCCUUCGGGUUGUAAAGCUCUUUUGUCAGGGAAGAAACGGUGAGCUCUAAUACAGUUUGCUAAUGACGGUACCUGAAGAAUAAGCACCGGCUAACUACGUGCCAGCAGCCGCGGUAAUACGUAGGGUGCAAGCGUUAAUCGGAAUUACUGGGCGUAAAGCGUGCGCAGGCGGUUAUGUAAGUCAGAUGUGAAAUCCCCGGGCUCAACCUGGGAAUGGCAUUUGAGACUGCAUGGCUAGAGUGUGUCAGAGGGGGGUAGAAUUCCACGUGUAGCAGUGAAAUGCGUAGAGGUGUGGAGGAAUACCGAUGGCGAAGGCAGCCCCCUGGGAUAACACUACGCUCAGCACGAA
This 401-nucleotide ribosomal RNA is filed under the name uncultured bacterium. RNAcentral's name for it is "bacterial SSU rRNA". It matches the Rfam family "Bacterial small subunit ribosomal RNA", at positions 362 to 757 of the family's 1533-position model. The record is from RNAcentral.